Molecule: ribosomal RNA, 704 nt
Filed under: uncultured bacterium
Lineage: Bacteria
Description: bacterial SSU rRNA
Rfam family: Bacterial small subunit ribosomal RNA
Source: RNAcentral
UAACGCGUGGGGAACCUGCCCCGUACCGGGGGAUAACACCUGGAAACAGGUGCUAAUACCGCAUAACAGAAGGGGACGCAUGUUCCUUUCUUGAAAACUCCGGUGGUACGGGAUGGACCCGCGUCUGAUUAGCUGGUUGGCGGGGUAACGGCCCACCAAGGCGACGAUCAGUAGCCGGCCUGAGAGGGCGGACGGCCACAUUGGGACUGAGACACGGCCCAAACUCCUACGGGAGGCAGCAGUGGGGAAUAUUGCACAAUGGGGGAAACCCUGAUGCAGCGACGCCGCGUGAGUGAAGAAGCGUUUCGGCGCGUAAAGCUCUGUCAGCGGGGAAGAAACACGGUUCGCGAGAGCCGCGGACGGUACCCGACCAAGAAGCCCCGGCUAACUACGUGCCAGCAGCCGCGGUAAUACGUAGGGGGCAAGCGUUAUCCGGAUUCACUGGGUGUAAAAGGAGCGUAGACGGCGAGACAAGUCUGGAGUGAAAGGCCGGGGCCCAACCCCGGGACUGCUCUGGAAACUGCCUGUCUGGAGUACAGGAGAGGUAAGUGGAAUUCCUAGUGUAGCGGUGAAAUGCGUAGAUAUUAGGAGGAACACCAGUGGCGAAGGCGGCUUACUGGACUGUAACUGACGUUGAGGCUCGAAAGCGUGGGGAGCAAACAGGAUUAGAUACCCUGGUAGUCCACGCCGUAAACGAUGAUCAC